UUGUGAAUAUUCUCACUGCUCUGAUUUUGUAGUAAUCCAGAUAGGCUAACCAUUCGCUAUAUUAAGACUAUGCGUGUGUCCCCAGACUUAGGUCUUUUCUUUCCCUUGGUCUGCUUUGACGAAUGCUGGUGGGAACC
This is a small nucleolar RNA of Jaculus jaculus (lesser Egyptian jerboa), 137 nucleotides long. Its record names the gene SNORA72. It matches the Rfam family "Small nucleolar RNA SNORA72". From Rfam's summary of the family: U72 is a member of the H/ACA class of snoRNAs. The snoRNA gene is located in intron 4 of the ribosomal L30 protein gene in human, mouse and chicken. The record is from Ensembl. Lineage: Eukaryota; Metazoa; Chordata; Mammalia; Rodentia; Dipodidae.